GGUCGUGGCGUGUCAAUCGGACAUUAAGGGGAUGGUAAACGCGGUAGUUUUUCCGAUUUCCUGCUGCGGGCAACGAAUUGCCAGUCGAGUAUCUUACCUUUACGCCGC
RNAcentral lists this small RNA (108 nucleotides) under Hyphomicrobiales bacterium. RNAcentral's name for it is "Atu_At1". It matches the Rfam family "Rhizobiales sRNA Atu_At1". Lineage: Bacteria; Pseudomonadati; Pseudomonadota; Alphaproteobacteria; Hyphomicrobiales. The record is from RNAcentral.